Molecule: transfer-messenger RNA, 326 nt
Filed under: Rickettsiales bacterium
Lineage: Bacteria; Pseudomonadati; Pseudomonadota; Alphaproteobacteria; Rickettsiales
Rfam family: Alphaproteobacteria transfer-messenger RNA
About the family: Bacterial tmRNA, also known as 10Sa RNA or SsrA, is named for its dual tRNA and mRNA-like properties. Its role is to liberate the mRNA from a stalled ribosome. To accomplish this part of the tmRNA is used as a reading frame that ends in a translation stop signal.
Source: RNAcentral
UGCUUUACAACAAUGCCUAAAAUGAGGUAUAAUGGAGACUGCUACUUAUGGUAGCUAUGGUAAUAAACGCUAUUUGGAAUAGAAGUUGCGGACCUGGGGGCGGUACCCAGCGCCUCCACCAUUGAUGAGAUUGUACUAUGGGGGCGAAAUAGGAUCGACGUGCUUAGUAAAGAAAUAAUUUUUACCCAGUAUGAUACCGCUGGAUCUUUUGAUCUUGGGUCAAAAAAAGUAAAUGCAAAUGAUAAUAAUCGUUAUGCAGUUGCUGCCUAGUUUAACUAGAUAGCACGCGGGGUUGGGGGCUUACCUUGCAACAGAAAAGCCUCACU